AGGUCAAGCUACAAAGGGCGCAUGGUGAAUGCCUUGGCAUCAGGAGCCGAUGAAGGACGCGAUAAGCUGCGAUAAGCUUCGGGUAGACGCACAUAGUCAGAGAUCCGAAGAUUUCCGAAUGAGGAAACUCACAUGGGAAACCCCAUGUAUCGUAAAGUGAAUACAUAGCUUUAUGAAGGUAAACCCAGGGAACUGAAACAUCUAAGUACCUGGAGGAAGAGAAAGAAAAAUCGAUUUUCUUAGUAGCGGCGAGCGAAAGGGAAAGAGCCCAAACCAAAGAUUUAUCUUUGGGGUUGCGGACAGAACAUUAACGAGAAAUUAUGGUUAACCGAACACAACUGGAAAGUUGGACCGUAGGGGGUAAUAGUCCUGUAGGUGAAAAUUAUAAUGAUCAAGUUCUGAUCCAGAGUACCACGAGACACGUGAAACCUUGUGGGAAGCAGGGAGGACCACCUCCCAAGGCUAAAUACUACCUGAUGACCGAUAGUGAAGCAGUACCGUGAGGGAAAGGUGAAAAGAACCCCGGGAGGGGAGUGAAAUAGAACCUGAAACCAUGUGCCUACAACCGAUCAAAGCACCUUAUGUGUGUGAUGAUGUGCUUUUUGUAGAACGAGCCAACGAGUUACGGUAUGUAGCAAGGUUAAGUACUUAAGGUACGGAGCCGAAGGGAAACCGAGUCUUAAUAGGGCGACUAGUUGCAUGCUGUAGACCCGAAACCGGGUGACCUAUCCAUGGCCAGGUUGAAGCGAGGGUAAAACCUCGUGGAGGACCGAACCACGUUGCUGUUGAAAAAGCAUGGGAUGAGCUGUGGAUAGCGGAGAAAUUCCAAUCGAACUCGGAUAUAGCUGGUUCUCCUCGAAAUAGCUUUAGGGCUAGCGUCGGAAAAUGUGAGUACUGGGGGUAGAGCACUGAAUGGGCUAGGGGGCAUAGCGCUUACCGAACCUUAUCAAACUCCGAAUACCAGAUACUAUCAGUCCGGCAGUCAGACUGCGAAAGAUAAGUUCCGUAGUCAAAAGGGAAACAGCCCAGAUCGUCAGCUAAGGUCCCAAAGUGUAAGUUAAGUGGAAAAGGAUGUGGGAUUUCUAAGACAACUAGGAUGUUGGCUUAGAAGCAGCCACUCAUUAAAAGAGUGCGUAAUAGCUCACUAGUCAAGAGAUCCUGCGCCGAAAAUGUCCGGGGCUCAAACUUACCACCGAAGCUACGGGUUCACACAAUAGUGUGAGCGGUAGAGGAGCGUCGUAAUCGGGCUGAAGUCGUACCGUAAGGAGCGGUGGACUGAUUACGAGUGAGAAUGUUGGCAUUAGUAGCGAGAUGUGGGUGAGAAUCCCACAGGCCGAAUACCUAAGGUUUCCUCAGGAAGGUUCGUCCGCUGAGGGUUAGUCGGGACCUAAGCUGAGGCCGAAAGGCGUAAGCGAUGGACAAUCGGUUGAUAUUCCGAUACCACUAUUAUCGUUAUUAUCGAUGGUGUGACGGAGAAGGAUAGGAUGUGCUAGCUAUUGGAUGCUAGUCUAAGCGUUUAGGGAGUUAGGAUAGGCAAAUCCGUUCUAACAAUUCUGAGGCGUGAUGGGGAAGGUUCUAAGGAACCGAAGUAUCUGAUUCCAUGCUUCCAAGAAAAGCAUCUAGAAAGAGAAAUAGUGCCCGUACCGCAAACCGACACAGGUAGGUGAGGAGAGAAUCCUAAGGCCGGCGGAAGAAUUGCAGUUAAGGAACUAGGCAAAUUGACCCCGUAACUUCGGGAGAAGGGGUGCCUGCGAGAGCAGGCCGCAGAGAAUAGGCACAAGCAACUGUUUAACAAAAACACAGG
RNAcentral lists this ribosomal RNA (1804 nucleotides) under Clostridium botulinum. RNAcentral describes it as "partial 23S ribosomal RNA". It matches the Rfam family "Bacterial large subunit ribosomal RNA", at positions 1 to 1819 of the family's 2925-position model. The record is from RNAcentral. Lineage: Bacteria; Bacillati; Bacillota; Clostridia; Eubacteriales; Clostridiaceae.